CUGUCUCUUGCUUCAACAGUGUUUGGACGGAACGG
Molecule: non-coding RNA, 35 nt
Organism: Myotis lucifugus (little brown bat)
Lineage: Eukaryota; Metazoa; Chordata; Mammalia; Chiroptera; Vespertilionidae
Source: Rfam